Sapajus apella (tufted capuchin) is the source of this 3267-nucleotide long non-coding RNA. RefSeq lists it as uncharacterized. The record is from RefSeq and is a predicted model, not a curated record. The transcript has 5 exons. NCBI's taxonomy places the organism in Eukaryota, Metazoa, Chordata, Mammalia, Primates, Cebidae.
UUUUAUGUAAAAGAUUAUAUAAAGGAAAUAACUGAGUAAUAAUGCUAUAAACUAAGAUAUUCUUCAGGCACUAAUUGUGCCUGAGGUUUGCACAGCUCUCCUUCCUUGGUGCCCAUGUGAGAGGUUACCCCCACACAAGUAUACACUAGAGUUUUCCACUGUACAGUUGGAAGAGCUACAUAACUGGAUUUUCCAGUUGACUGCUGCAUAAUGUUAUGAAAUCUUAUAUGGGUAAAAGAUCAAUUUGAACCGUAAAAUAAACCAAUAAACUUUAGUGUAAGAGUCCAAAAUAUUCGUUCAUACAGUUUCAGAUUCCUCAUGGCAGCUAACCUUCAAGAAACUACCACUUGCUAAGUUAUGGUGUAGUAUCAAAAAAUAAUGUAUCAGCUGAAAGGUUAAAAUGCUUCUUUUUCCAGCCACUGGGUGUACCUGUGUGAGGCCAGGUUUUCCUCUUAUGCUUCAACCAAAGCAAUGUAUUGCAACAAACUGAAAGCCAGACAUUAAAGACAUUUGCCCACCAGAUACAGUGGCUCAGGCCGGUAAUUCUGGCACUUUGGGAGGCAUCCCAGGUAAUUUGUGUGCAGCUUAAAGUCUGAAAUGCCCUAGUGCAGUGAUUCUCAGGGGGACAGUUUUGACUUCUAGGGGGCAAUAUCUGUAGACAUUUUUGGACAUCACAAUGUGGUGGGGGGAUGCUACUAAUAUCUAACAGGCUAAGGCCAGGGUGCUGCUAAACAUCCAGCAAUACCAGGCCAACAUCACCUUGGGCCCCUCCCACAGUAGAGAAUUAUCCCACCUGAAUUGUCAGUAGUGCAGAGGUGGAGGAAGCCCUACACUGUGUAAUUCAUCCGACCUUUACUAUGAAGUUCCUGAAACUCCUGGUGUAUAUCAUUUCUGUUGCCCUGGCUGAUAUUUCUACCUUUUCUCUUUUUUUUAGAUUUUAUUAUGAAGAACUCAUUCUGUUGAUCCCUAGGAAUCACCUAUUGCCUUGCUGUUUUGUUGAAUCUGUUUUUGAAUCUGCUUUCUACAUUGGGAAGAGCUAAGAAAACUUUUAAGCUAUUUACAGCUUUUAACAAUUCAGUAAAGUAUACUCCUGUUAACAAAAUUUGGGGCAUAUUUGUUUCUCUCUACCUGGUUUCUCCAGACUUUGGAAACUAUUUGUGCAGAAGCCCCAGGUUUAUCUUGGAACCUCAAGAGGAGAGGAAAUUCACCCAACUCAUAGAUAUUUGAUGGCACAAAUCCAUGGUUGGGCUCGGCUUUAAAAAGGUCUUAUCUGAGAUUCCUCCUGUGGAACAAAGUUCCAUCCAUGCCAAUUUAAAAACUUAUGUAAAAAAUUAUUAUUAUUCUUGCUGCACUGAAUACAAUAAUUAAGCCAAGUAUAAUAAAGCAAACCAGUCCUACUGUGAUUUGUCUUUAAUAAAAAUGGGAAACUAGAGAUAGAAAAAUUAUGUUUCAAAAUUAUAGUAGACCUGUUGUUAGAUUCUAGUCUUGGCUACUUUUUUUUUCAAUUUUUAUUAUUUUCUAUAGUUUGGACCGAAUUCUAAUUUUUCUUGACUACAAGUCUUCAAAAUAAUGUUUUCAAUUUCUUUUCCUUUUCUUUUCCCCAUUUUUCCUAAUUUAGAGUCACUGAAAACUAAGCUGUGCUUUCUUAAAACCCUGCGAACUGAAGCAGACAACUUCAGAAGAAAAUAACAGCAACCUAUUUACAAACAUAAGCCACUUUCAUAACUGCCUAGUAAUGUAUGGACUUCAGAGUAAUGUGGCCUAUAUCGAUUUUUCCAGGAUUGCUCUUUUGUUUGUUGUUGUUUUUUUCCCCUUUCCUCUCCAUUAUUUUCUCUUCACAGGACAUGAGACUUCACAACCUGUUAAAAAUGAGCUUUUGGGACCUACUCAUCUAGGAAUAAAGCAUUCUAGCUAUGAGAAAUCAGAUGAAACCUAAGACCAGAAACUCAUUUUCUUAUAAAAUGCUUUCUCCAAAGGAUUUCAAAAAAGAAAAAUGGGAAGAAAGGAAAAUAUCUUGGCCCCUGAAAUCACUAAGGAAAACUCAAGCUGGAAACUGCUUAGGGUGAAACUGCCUCCCAUUCUAUUCAGUCACUCCUCUGCUCACUGAGAUAGAUGCAUAUCUGAUUUGCCUCAUUUGGAAAGGUUAAUCAGAAACUCGAAAGACUAUAACCCUUUUUGUCUCACCUAUCUGUGACCUUAGUCUUCCUGCCUUUGCUUCAAGAUGUUCCGCAUUUCCACACCAAACCAAUGUACUUCUUACAUAUAUUAAUUGAUGUCUCAUGUCUCCCUAAAUGUAUAAAACCAAGUAUAAGACCAUGUAUAAGACCACCUUGGGCACAUGUCAUUAGGACUUCCUGAGGUUGUGUCACGGGCACAUCCUCAACCUUGGCAAAAUAAACUCUAAAUUAACUGAGGCCUGCCUCAAAUGUUACUGGUUUCACAUGAGUAACUCCUCUACAUGUCUUCUGCAUUCAACAGACACAUACUGAACAGGAAUUCCCUACCCUACUCCUGCUGGGUAUGAAGCCAGAUGCUAGGAUUGAAGAGCUUUCAUGGGUGGAUGUACAUGGAACAAAUGUGAACACAGCAGGAUGGAGAGGGAGAAGUACCUACCAAUGCUUUGACCCGUCCUUAGUCAGUUCUCCUGGAGAUGACAGAAAGAAGCAUGUUAAGAAUGGGAAGAAGCCUGGACUCGGUGGUUCACAUGUGUAAUCCCAGCACUUUGGGAGCCCAAGGCCCUUGCCAUUUUGGAGAAAAUCAGAAAAUCCUUGAUGCGUCUCCUGGUUCAAAAGGAACUGAAUAAGGAUUACAAGUAUCUAUCAACAGAUGAGAAACCUAAAGCUCAGAGGGGUUGUGUCUAGCCUCUGGCCACCCACCUGCUAAGUGCAGAAGCCAAUGUAGGAACGGGCUCUCUACCCGGGAACCCGUGCCCUUCACCGCGGGACUCUACCGCCCCCUAGUGGACCAUCUAGCCUUGCAUGGUCUCUCCUCCAGUUUCCACCCAGGUGGGAUGUCCAGCUGUCUCCACUCAUGAGAGGUAACUUCACAGUGGCUGUUUGCUGUUCCCAAGCACACCUCCUUCUCUUGUCCUAGUGCCACGCUGGCUGUGUUCUAACAAGUGGCAGCAGUGCUGAGUUUUGCUGCACACCCAGCGAGACACCCCAGACUCUGAUCUUCCAGGAGCACCCCGGGGGGAGCUUCAGAGGCUUCUGGCAGGAUUACCAGGUGUUCCUUACUGUGGUCCGUCAAUUCCUACAGGAGCAACCC